Molecule: long non-coding RNA, 570 nt
Organism: Prionailurus viverrinus (fishing cat)
Lineage: Eukaryota; Metazoa; Chordata; Mammalia; Carnivora; Felidae
Exons: 3
Source: RefSeq, a predicted model, not a curated record
CUCCUGACUCCGAGCUGUCAGCACAGAGCCCGACGCGGGGCCCGACCCCACGAACUGUGAGAUCGUGCCCUGAGCCGAAGCCGGAUGCCCAACCUACAGAGCCACCCAGGCGUCCCAAGAGAUGCCCAUUUCUAACAAUCACCUUAGGUUUGUGAAGAACAAAAUGCUGGCCCUGGGGAGCCAAGGCAGAGUAAACAGUCCUGUCCAGAAGGCAUGGAAGGGCAUCUGGCCACGGCCUUGAGGACCCCGGGCACAAGUUCUGAGACACCCUGAGGCCUGCAGACAAGCCCUUCCUCCUGGAGCUGGAGGAAGAUGGCUCAGCUCUAGAGCCAGAAGAGUACUUGAGGGCCCGGCAGAGGACACAGUGCUCGGCGAUGAAGUAAACACUUUAGAUCACCUGGGGACAUCGUGGCAGAAUGGGAGCCAGAACCAAGGAUCUGACUCCUCUUUGGACGUGAGUUGAGACUCUUACAAGUUCUGCCUCGAAGAGGGCUGGCUUCCCAUGGUAAGAUAAAAGAAUCCUCUCUUGGUUUGGAAUCAGCUUUCCCAGUUUUGCUCCACCCACUCCAU